GGAGUUAGCCGGUGCUUCUUCUGUGAGUGAUGUCCUUCCUGCCGGCUAUUAACCCGCAGGCCUUCUUCCUCACUGAAAGUGCUUUACAACCCGAAGGCCUUCUUCACACACGCGGCAUGGCUGGAUCAGGGUUGCCCCCAUUGUCCAAUAUUCCCCACUGCUGCCUCCCGUAGGAGUCUGGGCCGUGUCUCAGUCCCAGUGUGGCUGAUCAUCCUCUCAGACCAGCUACGGAUCGUCGCCUUGGUGAGCCGUUACCUCACCAACCAGCUAAUCCGACAUAGGCUCAUCCGAUAGCGCGAGGCCCGAAGGUCCCCCGCUUUCCCCCGUAGGGCGUAUGCGGUAUUAGCCUGGGUUUCCCCCAGGUUAUCCCCCACUACCGGGCAGAUUCCUAUGCAUUACUCACCCGUCCGCCGCUCGCCACCAGGGAGCAAGCUCCCCGUGCUGCCGCUCGACUUGCAUGUGUUAGGCCUGCCGCCAGCGUUCAAUCUGAGCCAGUACGACGUAACCCUAACGUACCUGGACGUCGGGACGUCGGGGCUAGGGGCCGACGGACGUACGACUA
This 562-nucleotide ribosomal RNA is filed under the name uncultured bacterium. Its description in RNAcentral is "partial 16S ribosomal RNA". The record is from RNAcentral.